This is a non-coding RNA of Oryza sativa Japonica Group (Japanese rice), 950 nucleotides long. NCBI's taxonomy places the organism in Eukaryota, Viridiplantae, Streptophyta, Magnoliopsida, Poales, Poaceae. The record is from RefSeq and is a predicted model, not a curated record.
UUGGUUUGCACACAAAAAUAUGGCACGUUUAUUAGUGUUAGGAUUAAGGUAAUUAUAUAUAACCCAUUAAUGGCCCAUUAGGCCCAAGAAGGACUAACGUGGGGGCGGGAUCGAUAGUCCGGAAUAUAUACGACUCCCGACGGCGCACUCACCCGCGACCAUGAUCCCAAGUCGAUCUUCUUCCUCCUUUCUUGCUGCAUCUGCUACCCCUUGAGAUUGGGAUCCACACCGGCAAGCGCCACCGCCGCCAAGUGCAGAUCGAUAUAUCAUCCCAAAGCUAGGUUAAUUUGCCUCCUCUACAGAUCGAUCGAUCGGAUCCCCUCGAUCCCAACCACCACCACCAAGUGCAGCUAGCGCAGUUCAUCCCCGCCCAAAGUUCUGCCUGUUACAGUAUGUCCUCAACGAAAUUUUACCAAUGACGACUGCUUGCACUGGCAUGGCACAAGAUCAGUAUAGGAUAUGUGUCUAGCCGAGUAGCCAUUAUUGUAACGUCCUAUGGCUAUGACGAUGGAACCGUAUCCUCUAACAUUACACACUAAUGUCACGGUGCAUACUAUUAUUACAAGGAUAUGCCUCGAUUGGGGGACCCGGAUGCAGACCUGGUGCAGAGAGUUCUUUGCGAGAUUGGAUAUGUGUGUUGCAUCCACUAUAUUGGUGUGACCUCAAACUGGUAUGAUUUAUUAGGAGGCGGCCUUUUGGUGACAUGGAAUGCGAUGUUUUUAAUUCUAGACAAGAUUAACUCGCCCAAUGCACGGUCAUGGCGUAGAGGAAGAUUUUAGAUACACGAUGAUGCAUGCAACUCUUAAUUGCAUGCUCAGUUCAAGUUGACAUGUCAUAAUCUUAAUAUAUGCAUCAUCAUAUUCUACUGUAGGAUGAUUCGAAGCUUGUGUAUAUACAAAUGUACUAUAUAUAAGACCUUGAUAUAUUCAUAACAAAUCCUGGUUCAGUCA